CCUACGGGAGGCAGCAGUGAGGAAUAUUGGUCAAUGGGAGAGAUCCUGACCCAGCCAAGCCGCGUGAGGGAAGACGGCCCUAUGGGUUGUAAACCUCUUUUGUCGGAGAACAAAACCCGGGACGUGUCCCGGACUGCGUGUAUCCGAAGAAAAAGCAUCGGCUAACUCCGUGCCAGCAGCCGCGAUAAUACGGAGGAUGCGAGCGUUAUCCGGAUUUAUUGGGUUUAAGGGGUGCGUAGGCGGUCCGUUAAGUCAGCGGGAAAAUUGCGGGGCUCAACCCCAUCGAGCCGUUGAAACUGGCAGACUUGAGUUGGCGAGAAGUACGCGGAAUGCGCGGUGUAGCGGUGAAAUGCAUAGAUAUCGCGCAGAACUCCGAUUGCGAAGGCAGCGUACCGGCGCCAGACUGACGCUGAGGCACGAAAGCGUGGGGAUCGAACAGGAUUAGAUACCCCGGUAGUC
Molecule: ribosomal RNA, 459 nt
Filed under: uncultured bacterium
Lineage: Bacteria
Description: partial 16S ribosomal RNA
Rfam family: Bacterial small subunit ribosomal RNA
Source: RNAcentral